Non-coding RNA from Pelobates cultripes (western spadefoot toad), 359 nucleotides. Lineage: Eukaryota; Metazoa; Chordata; Amphibia; Anura; Pelobatidae. The record is from the annotation of a GenBank genome assembly.
CUACAAUCUAAACCUCAAGAAGGUUAUAGUAACCCAUCUAUGACGAGUUAUAAUGGCACUUGAAUGGAGUUUAAACAAUGCGUGGUCAUAACAAGAAAAUUAUUGUAUUAUCCCCAAAAGCCAUAGGGAUAUAUUUACUAAAUAGUAACAUGAGAGUAUUCCACAAAUAAAAUCACCCUGGUGAACUUGGAGAUUGUUAUUGCUGAGUUAAAGAGGUUUUCACUUGUCCUGGGAAAUGUGGAACUUUGAAAAUGGAAUUUGAAGGUCUAGGUCCAAACUAGUUGAGGUAUAUAUACAUAGUAGACUUGGAGAAUAUUACCAGUUUAGCUAUUUGGACUAAAUUAGCUUGUCAGUUCCCG